CAGUCGCCACGGUAAUACGAAGGGGGCUAGCGUUGUUCGGAUUUACUGGGCGUAAAGCGCACGUAGGCGGAUCCUUAAGUCAGAGGUGAAAUCCCAAGGCUCAACCUUGGAACUGCCUUUGAUACUGGGGAUCUCGAGUUCGGGAGAGGUGAGUGGAACUGCGAGUGUAGAGGUGAAAUUCGUAGAUAUUCGCAAGAACACCAGUGGCGAAGGCGGCUCACUGGCCCGAUACUGACGCUGAGGUGCGAAAGCGUGGGGAGCAAACAGGAUUAGAUACCCCAGUAGUCCCUGUCUCUUAUAC
This 301-nucleotide ribosomal RNA is filed under the name uncultured bacterium. RNAcentral's name for it is "partial 16S ribosomal RNA". It matches the Rfam family "Bacterial small subunit ribosomal RNA", at positions 509 to 807 of the family's 1533-position model. The record is from RNAcentral.